CAUACGACCGUACCGCAAACCGACACUGGUGCGCGAGAUGAGUAUUCUAAGGCGCUUGUGAGAACUCAGGAGAAGGAACUCGGCAAAUUGACACCGUAACUUCGGAAGAAGGUGUGCCCUAUUAGUGUGUAGUGAACAACGAAGCAUGAAUGGGUUGCAAAAAAUCGGUGGCUGCGACUGUUUAUUAAAAACACAGCACUCUGCAAACACGAAAGUGGACGUAUAGGGUGUGACGCCUGCCCGGUGCUGGAAGAUUAAAUGAUGGGGUGCAAGCUCUUGAUUGAAGUCCCAGUAAACGGCGGCCGUAACAAUAACGGUCCUAAGGUAGCGAAAUUCCUUGUCGGGUAAGUUCCGACCUGCACGAAUGGCGUAACGAUGGCCACACUGUCUCCUCCUGAGACUCAGCGAAGUUGAAAUGUUUGUGAUGAUGCAAUCUCCCCGCGGAAAGACGGAAAGACCCCAUGAACCUUUACUGUAGCUUUGUAUUGGACUUUGAACAGAUCUGUGUAGGAUAGGUGGGAGGCUUUGAAGCAGGGUCGCUAGAUCUUGUGGAGCCAACGUUGAAAUACCACCCUGGUGUGUUUGAGGUUCUAACCUAGGUCCAUUAUCUGGAUCGGGGACAGUGCAUGGUAGGCAGUUUGACUGGGGCGGUCUCCUCCCAAAGCGUAACGGAGGAGUUCGAAGGUACGCUAGUUACGGUCGGACAUCGUGACGAUAGUGCAAUGGCAUAAGCGUGCUUAACUGCGAGACUGACAAGUCGAGCAGAUGCGAAUGCAGGACAUAGUGAUCCGGUGGUUCUGUAUGGAAGGGCCAUCGCUCAACGGAUAAAAGGUACUCUGGGGAUAACAGGCUGAUACCGCCCAAGAGUUCAUAUCGACGGCGGUGUUUGGCACCUCGAUGUCGGCUCAUCUCAUCCUGGGGCUGUAGCCGGUCCCAAGGGUAUGGCUGUUCGCCAUUUAAAGAGGUACGUGAGCUGGGUUUAAAACGUCGUGAGACAGUUUGGUCCCUAUCUUCCGUGGGCGCUGCAGAUUUGAGGAAGCCUGCUCCUAGUACGAGAGGACCGGAGUGGACACACCUCUGGUGUAUCGGUUGUCACGCCAGUGGCAUUGCCGAGUAGCUAAGUGUGGAAGAGAUAACCGCUGAAAGCAUCUAAGCGGGAAACUCGUUUCAAGAUGAGAUCUGCCGGGGCCUUGAGCCCCCUAAAGAGUCGUUCAAGACCAGGACGUUGAUAGGUCAGGUGUGGAAGC
RNAcentral lists this ribosomal RNA (1247 nucleotides) under metagenome. Its description in RNAcentral is "bacterial LSU rRNA". It matches the Rfam family "Bacterial large subunit ribosomal RNA", at positions 1635 to 2874 of the family's 2925-position model. The record is from RNAcentral.